UAAUAACACUACACAAUGGAUUUCUCGGCUCCCAUAACGAUGAAGAACGCAGCAAAGCGCGAUAGGUAGUGUGAAUUGCAGAAUUCCGCGAAUCAUCGAAUCUUUGAACGCAUAUUGCGCCUGAGCCUCCUGGCUUGGGCAUGUCUGCCUCAGCGUCGGUUC
Molecule: ribosomal RNA, 162 nt
Filed under: Aegagropila linnaei
Lineage: Eukaryota; Viridiplantae; Chlorophyta; Ulvophyceae; Cladophorales; Pithophoraceae
Description: 5.8S ribosomal RNA
Rfam family: 5.8S ribosomal RNA
About the family: 5.8S ribosomal RNA (5.8S rRNA) is a component of the large subunit of the eukaryotic ribosome. It is transcribed by RNA polymerase I as part of the 45S precursor that also contains 18S and 28S rRNA.
Source: RNAcentral